This 757-nucleotide small RNA is filed under the name Pongo abelii (Sumatran orangutan). Its description in RNAcentral is "retained intron". Lineage: Eukaryota; Metazoa; Chordata; Mammalia; Primates; Hominidae. The record is from RNAcentral.
CCGCUGUUUCCUUCGGCUUUCCUCCUCCUCCACCAUGUGGAGCCGACGUCAGGGCCGCCUCAGGCCCACGGUCUGCGGGGUGGAGGAGCUACGGCGCCGCCGGCGGGAGCGGGAGGCAGGUGUGGGCGGCCGAGGGAGCGCGGGGGUAUAUGGCGGUCGGAGAUAGGUUGAGACCCCAGGCUCGGAGCCGCGGGUUCUGGGUUCUGGUCGUUCUUCCCACGCUCAGCCGGCUCCUCUGCCCCCAGCACUGCGGAAGGCGCGGAGGGAGCAGCAGCUGGUCAGCAAGAGGCUGCUGAGAGACGACACCCCAGAGGAAGCUGGAGAGGGAUGUGUGGCUGCGAUCCUCGGGGAAACCGAGGUGCAGCAGUUCCUGCGGCAAGCCCAGCGGGGGACAGAGGAAAAGGAGAGAGAGGGGGCUCUGGUCAGCCUUCGUCGAGGCUUGCAACACCCUGAAACACAGCAAACCUUCAUCCGGCUGGAGGGCAGCAUGCGGACCCUGGUCGGGCUCCUGACCAGCAACCAGGCCCUGCUGCAGCUUGAGGCGGCUCGGUGCCUGCAUGAGCUCUCUCACUCCGAGCAGUCCACCGUUGCUGAGGCCUGCCUGCCAGCCACUUCCUACCUCCUCACCUACCUCUCCGGUCACAGCUCAGACUUCAUAGAGCUGUGUCUGUAUACACUGGGUAACCUGAUCGUGGAGAGUGAGGCUGUGAGAAGGCAGCUCCUGCCACAGGGCAUUGUUCCAGCCUUGGCUGCCUGC